CCUACGGGAGGCAGCAGUGAGGAAUAUUGGUCAAUGGGAGAGAUCCUGAACCAGCCAAGCCGCGUGAGGGAAGACGGCCCUAUGGGUUGUAAACCUCUUUUGUCGGAGAACAAAACCCGGGACGUGUCCCGGACUGCGUGUAUCCGAAGAUAAAGCAUCGGCUAACUCCGUGCCAGCAGCCGCGGUAAUACGGAGGAUGCGAGCGUUAUCGGGAUUUAUUGGGUUUAAAGGGUGCGUAGGCGGUCCGUUAAGUCAGCGGGAAAAUUGCGGGGCUCAACCCCGUCGAGCCGUUGAAACUGGCAGACUUGAGUUGGCGAGAGGUACGCGGAAUGCGCGGUGUAGCGGUGAAAUGCAUAGAUAUCGCGCAGAACUCCGAUUGCGAAGGCAGCGUACCGGCGCCAGACUGACGCUGAGGCACGAAAGCGUGGGGAUCGAACAGGAUUAGAUACCCUUGUAGUC
This 459-nucleotide ribosomal RNA is filed under the name uncultured bacterium. Its description in RNAcentral is "partial 16S ribosomal RNA". It matches the Rfam family "Bacterial small subunit ribosomal RNA", at positions 338 to 795 of the family's 1533-position model. The record is from RNAcentral.